RNAcentral lists this ribosomal RNA (444 nucleotides) under uncultured bacterium. RNAcentral's name for it is "bacterial SSU rRNA". It matches the Rfam family "Bacterial small subunit ribosomal RNA", at positions 331 to 792 of the family's 1533-position model. The record is from RNAcentral.
CCAGACUCCUACGGGAGGCAGCAGUGGGGAAUAUUGCACAAUGGGGGAAACCCUGAUGCAGCGACGCCGCGUGAGUGAAGAAGUAUUUCGGUAUGUAAAGCUCUAUCAGCAGGGAAGAAAAUGACGGUACCUGACUAAGAAGCCCCGGCUGACUACGUGCCAGCAGCCGCGGUAAUACGUAGGGGGCAAGCGUUAUCCGGAUUUACUGGGUGUAAAGGGAGCGUAGACGGCAUGGCAAGUCAGAUGUGAAAGCCCGGGGCUCAACCCCGGGACUGCAUUUGAAACUGUCAGGCUGGAGUGCAGGAGAGGUAAGUGGAAUUCCUAGUGUAGCGGUGAAAUGCGUAGAUAUUAGGAGGAACACCAGUGGCGAAGGCGGCUUGCUGGACUGUAACUGACGUUGAGGCUCGAAAGCGUGGGGAGCAAACAGGAUUAGAUCCCCCUGUA